Long non-coding RNA from Ipomoea triloba (trilobed morning glory), 480 nucleotides. RefSeq lists it as uncharacterized. The record is from RefSeq and is a predicted model, not a curated record. NCBI's taxonomy places the organism in Eukaryota, Viridiplantae, Streptophyta, Magnoliopsida, Solanales, Convolvulaceae. The transcript has 2 exons.
UAUCUCCGUUUUUGAGCUUCGUUUCGCGUUUUGCUCUUCGAUCCGGUGAUGCCGGCGGCGGCGCUGGGUCUUGCGUCCGGGUGGAGAGCGGCGGCGAAGCAGGCUUCGGGCGAGAAAUUGGCGAUGCCGGCGAUGAAGCUUGAAGAUGACGCGACUUCGUUUCGCGGACGGCGGUCGCCGGACGGCGGAAGGCGGCGUCAGCGCUGGCUUGCGGCACGAUUCUGCCGGGGCCGUUCCCUUUCCGAUCGUUUUUUCUCUCUUUGUUUGCGUUGGCUGCGGGAGUUUAAUCUCAAAGCAGCUAGGUUUUUUGGUUUUGUGUUUCUGCAACUUGGGUCGGGUCCACUUUUGGGCCUGGCCCUUUAUUAAAAAAAAUGUUUUAAUUGGGCCUUUUAUAUACUAUUCUGGUUUAUCAUAUGUAUAUACUUUUGUUUAAUUAUAUUGGGCCUUCUACUUAACAAUGCAUAUAUUAUUUUUAUUCAA